This 422-nucleotide ribosomal RNA is filed under the name Megophrys ancrae. Its description in RNAcentral is "partial 12S ribosomal RNA". It matches the Rfam family "Bacterial small subunit ribosomal RNA", at positions 903 to 1521 of the family's 1533-position model. The record is from RNAcentral. Lineage: Eukaryota; Metazoa; Chordata; Amphibia; Anura; Megophryidae.
AAGACUUGGCGGUGCCCUAUACCACCUAGAGGAGCCUGUUCUGUAAUCGAUAACCCCCGUUCAACCUCACCAUCCCUUGCCAAACACUGCCUGUAUACCUCCGUCGUCAACUUACCCCUCAAGGGAAAAAGUCGGUUUAAUGGCUUAUCACCAAAAAGUCAGGUCAAGGUGCAGCGAAUGAGAUGGGAAGAAAUGGGCUACAUUUUCUACCAAUAGACUAAACGGAAAAUCACUAUGAAAUCUGAUUGGAAGGCGGAUUUAGCAGUAAAAAGAGAUUAGAGCGCUCUUUUUAAGUUGGCUCUAGGGCGCGCACACACCGCCCGUCACCCUCUUCGACUCUGUACCUUAUAUUUAUAAUACCCCAAGAAGAGAAAAGAAGAGGCAAGUCGUAACAUGGUAAGUCCACCGGAAGGUGGACUUGG